UGAACGCUGGCGGCAGGCCUACCACAUGCAAGUCGAACGGUAACAGGAAGAAGCUUGCUUCUUUGCUGACGAGUGGCGGACGGGUGAGUAAUGUCUGGGAAACUGCCUGAUGGAGGGGGAUAACUACUGGAAACGGUAGCUAAUACCGCAUAACGUCGCAAGACCAAAGAGGGGGACCUUCGGGCCUCUUGCCAUCGGAUGUGCCCAGAUGGGAUUAGCUAGUAGGUGGGGUAACGGCUCACCUAGGCGACGAUCCCUAGCUGGUCUGAGAGGAUGACCAGCCACACUGGAACUGAGACACGGUCCAGACUCCUACGGGAGGCAGCAGUGGGGAAUAUUGCACAAUGGGCGCAAGCCUGAUGCAGCCAUGCCGCGUGUAUGAAGAAGGCCUUCGGGUUGUAAAGUACUUUCAGCGGGGAGGAAGGGAGUAAAGUUAAUACCUUUGCUCAUUGACGUUACCCGCAGAAGAAGCACCGGCUAACUCCGUG
RNAcentral lists this ribosomal RNA (488 nucleotides) under uncultured bacterium. RNAcentral describes it as "partial 16S ribosomal RNA". It matches the Rfam family "Bacterial small subunit ribosomal RNA", at positions 30 to 507 of the family's 1533-position model. The record is from RNAcentral.